Molecule: small RNA, 1059 nt
Filed under: Arabidopsis thaliana (thale cress)
Lineage: Eukaryota; Viridiplantae; Streptophyta; Magnoliopsida; Brassicales; Brassicaceae
Description: ATSL021780
Source: RNAcentral
AGAUGCGAGACUAAAGUGGCAACUUUACUUUUGAUCCAACUCUAUUUCUUUUAGGCUGUGGAGUGAAUUAUUAGUUUGACAACAACAAAAAUGUCUUUGUAAAAUCUUCGGCUUUUCACUAUUAUAGAUUUGAAAAAAUGUUGUUUAAUACGUGAACUUUCAAAAUUGGCCAUUUAAUACGUGAACUUUAUAUAUGGCAAAUUAAUACAUACAAAAAUCGUUGACUGACAAUUUUACAUAAACUUAAUCGUUGAUCAAGCCAAAAUCUACACGACGUUAUCUGACAUUAACAGACCGAUAACAGUCGUUAACUAAUCUUCGUUAGUUUCUAAUACGACGUUGUUUCGAGUAUCGCGAAAACGGAAAAUGCCAUUUAAUACUCCAAUUUUCAAAUUGUGGUCAUUUUAUAUAUCAACUUCACAUGUGGCCAUUUUAUAUAUGAACUAAACGUUGACCAAUAGUUUAAAAUAUGAGAAUGCGUUGAUUAGACCAAAAAGACAUACCGCUAUCUAGACCUAGAUAUUCAGAUUUUUGUUUGGAUUCGGUUUGGAUUUAUUCAAAUACCUAGGCCUAGAUAGCGGUAUGUCUCUUUGGCCUGGUUAACACAUUCUCAUUUUUUAAACUGUUGGUCAACGUUUAGUUCAUGUAUAAAAUGGCCAUAUGUGAAGUUGAUGUAUAAAAUGACCAUAAUUUGAAAGUUGGAGUAUUAAAUGGCAUUUUUCCCGUUUUUGCGAUAAUCGAAAUGACGUCGUAUUGGAAACUAACAGAGAUUAGUUAACGGCUGUUAUCGGUCUGUUAAUGUCAGAUAACGUCGUGUAGAUUUUGGCCUGAUCAACGAUUAAGUUUGUGUAAAAUGGCCAGUCAACGAUUUUUGUAUGUAUUAAUUUACCAUAUAUAAAGUUCACGUAUUAAAUGACCAUUUUUUUAAAGUUCACGUAUUAAACGACAUUUUUCCCGUUAUAGAUUGAGGUAUAAAGGGACGAAAAGUAAAAAUUUGUGUUUAUGAGAGUUAUGUUCAGUGUUGAUAUGAUCAGUGAACUAGAAGAUAUUACGUCACCA